UACGGAGGUGGCGAGCGUUACUCGGAAUUAUUGGGUGUAAAGGGUAGGUAGGCGGUCUAUUAAGUGAGGGGUGAAAUCCUGCGGUUCAAUCGCAGAACUGCCUUUCAAACUGAUAGACUUGAGACAGGAAUAGGAAAACGGAAUUAGCAGUGUAAGGGUGAAAUCUGUAGAUAUUGCUAAGAACUCCAACGGCGUAGGCAGUUUUCUGGUCCUGUUCUGACGCUGAUCUACGAAAGCUAGGGGAGCAAACAGAAUUAGAUACUCUGGUAGUCCUAGCUGUAAACGAUGAGUACUAGGUGUCGGCCCUUCGGGGUCGGUGCCGAAGCUAACGCGUUAAGUACUCCACCUGGGGACUACGGUCGCAAGGCUAAA
Molecule: ribosomal RNA, 372 nt
Filed under: uncultured bacterium
Lineage: Bacteria
Description: bacterial SSU rRNA
Rfam family: Bacterial small subunit ribosomal RNA
Source: RNAcentral